AGGAGGCUGACCCACAGGCAGCUUUCCCCGAUGUCCAACCAGAACAAAUGGACGUGGUGCUGGGCCUGAGGACGUUUAGCCCUUGCAACCGGCUUCCGUCGCUGCCACCUGCCACGGCUCUUUGCUCACAUUUUAUUUCGCCGGAAACGUGAUGUUCUUGGUCUCC
This is a non-coding RNA of Tursiops truncatus (common bottlenose dolphin), 166 nucleotides long. NCBI's taxonomy places the organism in Eukaryota, Metazoa, Chordata, Mammalia, Artiodactyla, Delphinidae. The record is from Rfam.